This 491-nucleotide ribosomal RNA is filed under the name uncultured bacterium. RNAcentral's name for it is "bacterial SSU rRNA". It matches the Rfam family "Bacterial small subunit ribosomal RNA", at positions 28 to 526 of the family's 1533-position model. The record is from RNAcentral.
GACGAACGCUGGCGGCGCGCCUAACACAUGCAAGUCGAACGGGAUCUUUUAGGAAGCUUGCUUCCUGGCUGAUCUAGUGGCGGACGGGUGAGUAACACGUGAGCAACCUGCCGCGGAGUGGGGGAUAACGUCUGGAAACGGACGCUAAUACCGCAUAACAUAUUUGGGGGACAUCCCCCGGGUAUCAAAGGAGUAAUCCGCUCAGCGAUGGGCUCGCGCCCGAUUAGAUAGUUGGUGAGGUAACGGCUCACCAAGUCGACGAUCGGUAGCCGGACUGAGAGGUUGAACGGCCACAUUGGGACUGAGACACGGCCCAGACUCCUACGGGAGGCAGCAGUGGGGAAUAUUGGGCAAUGGGGGAAACCCUGACCCAGCGACGCCGCGUGAGUGAAGACGGCCUUCGGGUUGUAAAGCUCUGUUUCGGGGGACGAUAAUGACGGUACCCCGGGAGGAAGCCACGGCUAACUACGUGCCAGCAGCCGCAGUAACAC